This 622-nucleotide transfer RNA is filed under the name Nostoc lichenoides CNP-AK1. Its description in RNAcentral is "16S-23S ribosomal RNA intergenic spacer". The stretch from base 297 to 369 matches the Rfam family "tRNA". The record is from RNAcentral. Lineage: Bacteria; Bacillati; Cyanobacteriota; Cyanophyceae; Nostocales; Nostocaceae.
UUUAGGGAGACCUACACCCCUUAGAUAUCGAAAAGCAAACAGCUAUAUAGAUAGUAAGUUGGUCACGCCCUAGGUCGGUCGCAGACAUUUGCAAUACGUUCAACGCUUUCAAACUAUGAUGAAGGUUCGUUUAUGGGCUAUUAGCUCAGGUGGUUAGAGCGCACCCCUGAUAAGGGUGAGGUCCCUGGUUCGAGCCCAGGAUGGCCCACCUGAAUCAAUUAAAAAUGUAGAAUUAGAAAUUAAAAAUCAAAUAAAUUAAAUUUUUAAUUUUUACUUAGCAAUUUUUAAUUGUAUCUGGGGGUUUAGCUCAGUUGGUAGAGCGCCUGCUUUGCAAGCAGGAUGUCAGCGGUUCGAGUCCGCUAACCUCCACCUGUGGCUGUUGCCACUGAUUAAAAAUAUUGAGAGUUCCAGCAACAUGGCUUAAUUGAAGUCAGACUGCUGAGAUUUUUCUCAGUCAGAACCUUGAAAACUGCAUAGUAACGCGAAAUUAGCAGGCAGACACAGACAUUCUUAGUGCUGAGUACUGAGUGCUGAGUACUGAGUAAAAUCAGUGCGAAGUGACGAGGUAAGCAGAACUAACUAUUUGUGAAUGCAAGUCAUUAAAAGACCAAAAGAAUUGAGU